This is a long non-coding RNA of Apis florea (little honeybee), 1083 nucleotides long. The record is from RefSeq and is a predicted model, not a curated record. Lineage: Eukaryota; Metazoa; Arthropoda; Insecta; Hymenoptera; Apidae.
UUUAAUAUAAAUGAUAUUGAUAGUCUUCAUUUUUGUUUUUUUUUUUCUUCUAUCAUCGCCAUAUUUUUUUAUCUAGCUUCCGUAUAUCUCCAUAAAUCCUUCCUCUUUCCUGUAUAAUAUCGCUCCGUUUCAUUAAAGCAUCAAUGAGGUAUCAGAGCGAAUCUAAAAAGAUUCCGGAAGAAUUCUGAAUAAACGACAAGCGAAUAAUGUUGCUUGAACAGGAACCAGAUGUCUCUGCCAUCGUUUGAACGACACCGAAGAAGAUACGUUUAAUUGUCGGGGACACGGUUCACAUAAUACCGUAUGGAAACUCAUUUUGUUCUCUGUAUCCCUCUCGGAAGCGAGCAUUCAUGCAUACACAUAUCUGUGAAAUCUUUGCAUGUAUGCGCGAGUAAUGGCCCGGUACCAUUGUCUCUGAUGAUUCUCUCACAUUGCAUCACACCUAACCUCAUAGAUGUGCGCUUGUACUUAUGCCGGAUGCGGACUGAGGCAACAGCUUCGAACCAGCUAUUAAAUUUCGUAUAGUUUUAGAUAGAUGCGAAUCUGUGUUAUGAAUAAUUGAGUGAAAUUGAAAGUGCAUCAUCAAGAAUUGUUUAUAGUUGCAAUUCAUGGCGAAAGAAUUUGAAACAAGAAAAUUACAAUCACUUAAUUGGAAACUAUAUUCUGAACCGGAUCGGCAAAGAUUAAUGAGGAUAUGAAAUAUCUAAUUAAUAAGGAUAUCGAUGGAAAUGAAAAUUAUAAUUUCGUUAUUGAAAACAAGGCUAGUCAUCGAAAAUGUUGUUUCGCUUCAUUUUUAAUUCAUUUCCGUUGCUUUAAUGUUAACGAGCGGAACACGAUUGGUUAAAAUUAACGAUAAAUAAAAACUGUCUUCUUAUGGAAAGUUCUUGUUGCAUAAGAAAGUGGAAUUGGCAUUGAUGAAUGCCAAAUGACUUAUGGGUCGUGAAUUUUAUUUUAUGACCCGGUACUUGGAAAAAGUUAAAAGGAUGAGUUAGCUUGCAUGAAGCAACAAACAAGAAAUGAUGGUUUCAUGAACAUCAAUAAGUUGUACGAAGUCAAUAAAAGGAUUUUAAUCCAUUGAUAUUA